RNAcentral lists this ribosomal RNA (494 nucleotides) under uncultured bacterium. RNAcentral's name for it is "partial 16S ribosomal RNA". It matches the Rfam family "Bacterial small subunit ribosomal RNA", at positions 28 to 507 of the family's 1533-position model. The record is from RNAcentral.
GACGAACGCUGGCGGCGCGCUUAACACAUGCAAGUCGAACGGAAAGGCCUGCUUUCCCUUGUGGAUUGCGGGUACUCGAGUGGCGAACGGGUGAGUAACACGUGAGUGAUCUGCCCCCAACUUGGGUAUAAGCCUGGGAAACUGGGUCUAAUUCCCGAUAGGACUGCAGGGUGGUGCCUGUGGUGGAAAACGAUUUUCUAGUGGUUGGGGAUGAGCUCGCGGCCUAUCAGCUUGUUGGUGGGGUAAUGGCCUACCAAGGCGGCGACGGGUAGCCGGCCUGGGAGGGUGGACGGCCACAUUGGGACUGAGAUACGGCCCAGACUCCUACGGGAGGCAGCAGUGGGGAAUAGUGCACAAUGGGCGGAAGCCUGAUGCAGCGACGCCGCGUGGGGGAUGACGGCCCUCGGGUUGUAAACUCCUUUCGACCGCGAGGAAGCCACCUGGUUGGAAGGGUGGUGACGGUAGUGGUAGAAGAAGCACCGGCUAACUACGUG